RNAcentral lists this ribosomal RNA (485 nucleotides) under uncultured bacterium. RNAcentral describes it as "bacterial SSU rRNA". It matches the Rfam family "Bacterial small subunit ribosomal RNA", at positions 28 to 524 of the family's 1533-position model. The record is from RNAcentral.
GACGAACGCUGGCGGCGUGCCUAACACAUGCAAGUCGAACGAGAUCCAUGGGAGCUUGCUCCCGGAAGAUCUAGUGGCGAACGGGUGAGUAACACGUGAGAAACCUGCCCUGGAGUGGGGAAUAACUCGGGGAAACUCGAGCUAAUACCGCAUACCCUCGGAUGGUCGCAUGGCCGACCGAGGAAAGAUUUAUCGCUCUAGGAGGGUCUCGCGGCCUAUCAGCUAGUUGGUGGGGUAACGGCCUACCAAGGCAACGACGGGUAGCUGGUUUGAGAGAACGAUCAGCCACACUGGGACUGAGACACGGCCCAGACUCCUACGGGAGGCAGCAGUGGGGAAUCUUGCGCAAUGGGCGAAAGCCUGACGCAGCAACGCCGCGUGCGGGAUGACGGCCUUCGUGGUUGUAAACCGCUUUCAGCAGGGACGAAAAUGACGGUACCUGCAGAAGAAGCCCCGGCUAACUACGUGCCAGCAGCCGCGGUAAU